Molecule: ribosomal RNA, 1534 nt
Filed under: Salmonella enterica subsp. enterica serovar Stanley
Lineage: Bacteria; Pseudomonadati; Pseudomonadota; Gammaproteobacteria; Enterobacterales; Enterobacteriaceae
Description: partial 23S ribosomal RNA
Rfam family: Bacterial large subunit ribosomal RNA
Source: RNAcentral
AGACCCGAAACCCGGUGAUCUAGCCAUGGGCAGGUUGAAGGUUGGGUAACACUAACUGGAGGACCGAACCGACUAAUGUUGAAAAAUUAGCGGAUGACCUGUGGCUGGGGGUGAAAGGCCAAUCAAACCGGGAGAUAGCUGGUUCUCCCCGAAAGCUAUUUAGGUAGCGCCUCGUGAAUUCAUCUCCGGGGGUAGAGCACUGUUUCGGCUAGGGGGCCAUCCCGGCUUACCAACCCGAUGCAAACUGCGAAUACCGGAGAAUGUUAUCACGGGAGACACACGGCGGGUGCUAACGUCCGUCGUGAAGAGGGAAACAACCCAGACCGCCAGCUAAGGUCCCAAAGUCAUGGUUAAGUGGGAAACGAUGUGGGAAGGCCCAGACAGCCAGGAUGUUGGCUUAGAAGCAGCCAUCAUUUAAAGAAAGCGUAAUAGCUCACUGGUCGAGUCGGCCUGCGCGGAAGAUGUAACGGGGCUAAACCAUGCACCGAAGCUGCGGCAGCGACACUGUGUGUUGUUGGGUAGGGGAGCGUUCUGUAAGCCUGUGAAGGUGUGUCGUGAGGCAUGCUGGAGGUAUCAGAAGUGCGAAUGCUGACAUAAGUAACGAUAAAGCGGGUGAAAAGCCCGCUCGCCGGAAGACCAAGGGUUCCUGUCCAACGUUAAUCGGGGCAGGGUGAGUCGACCCCUAAGGCGAGGCCGAAAGGCGUAGUCGAUGGGAAACGGGUUAAUAUUCCCGUACUUGGUGUUACUGCGAAGGGGGGACGGAGAAGGCUAUGUUGGCCGGGCGACGGUUGUCCCGGUUUAAGCGUGUAGGUGUGUGUUCCAGGUAAAUCCGGUUCACUUUAACACUGAGGCGUGACGACGAGGCACUACGGUGCUGAAGCAACAAAUGCCCUGCUUCCAGGAAAAGCCUCUAAGCAUCAGGUAACAUCAAAUCGUACCCCAAACCGACACAGGUGGUCAGGUAGAGAAUACCAAGGCGCUUGAGAGAACUCGGGUGAAGGAACUAGGCAAAAUGGUGCCGUAACUUCGGGAGAAGGCACGCUGACACGUAGGUGAAGUGAUUUACUCAUGGAGCUGAAGUCAGUCGAAGAUACCAGCUGGCUGCAACUGUUUAUUAAAAACACAGCACUGUGCAAACACGAAAGUGGACGUAUACGGUGUGACGCCUGCCCGGUGCCGGAAGGUUAAUUGAUGGGGUCAGCGCAAGCGAAGCUCCUGAUCGAAGCCCCGGUAAACGGCGGCCGUAACUAUAACGGUCCUAAGGUAGCGAAAUUCCUUGUCGGGUAAGUUCCGACCUGCACGAAUGGCGUAAUGAUGGCCAGGCUGUCUCCACCCGAGACUCAGUGAAAUUGAACUCGCUGUGAAGAUGCAGUGUACCCGCGGCAAGACGGAAAGACCCCGUGAACCUUUACUAUAGCUUGACACUGAACAUUGAGCCUUGAUGUGUAGGAUAGGUGGGAGGCUUUGAAGCGUGGACGCCAGUCUGCGUGGAGCCGACCUUGAAAUACCACCCUUUAAUGUUUGAUGUUCUAAC